AGUGAACGCUGGCGGUAGGCCUAACACAUGCAAGUCGAACGGCAGCACAGUAAGAGCUUGCUCUUACGGGUGGCGAGUGGCGGACGGGUGAGGAAUACAUCGGAAUCUACUUUUUCGUGGGGGAUAACGUAGGGAAACUUACGCUAAUACCGCAUACGACCUACGGGUGAAAGCAGGGGAUCUUCGGACCUUGCGCGAUUGAAUGAGCCGAUGUCGGAUUAGCUAGUUGGCGGGGUAAAGGCCCACCAAGGCGACGAUCCGUAGCUGGUCUGAGAGGAUGAUCAGCCACACUGGAACUGAGACACGGUCCAGGCUCCUACGGGAGGCAGCAGUGGGGAAUAUUGGACAACGGGCGCAAGCCUGAUCCAGCCAUACCGCGUGGGUGAAGAAGGCCUUCGGGUUGUAAAGCCCUUUUGUUGGGAAAGAAAAGCAGCAGGUUAAUACCCCGCUGUUCUGACGGUACCCAAAGAAUAAGCACCGGCUAACUUCGUG
Molecule: ribosomal RNA, 492 nt
Filed under: uncultured bacterium
Lineage: Bacteria
Description: partial 16S ribosomal RNA
Rfam family: Bacterial small subunit ribosomal RNA
Source: RNAcentral